RNAcentral lists this small nucleolar RNA (116 nucleotides) under Otolemur garnettii (small-eared galago). RNAcentral describes it as "Small nucleolar RNA SNORA33 (ENSOGAG00000018796.2)". The record is from RNAcentral. Lineage: Eukaryota; Metazoa; Chordata; Mammalia; Primates; Galagidae.
CAGCCCUGGCCAAAAACAGCAAAAAAAAAAAAAAAAAAAAAGGGCAAUAGUAAAGCCAUGUUACGAGCCUUAAAGACACUGAAGUCGUUAAGGGUCUCUGAAAAAUGGCUAUAACA